Molecule: RNA transcript, 2788 nt
Organism: Triticum aestivum (bread wheat)
Lineage: Eukaryota; Viridiplantae; Streptophyta; Magnoliopsida; Poales; Poaceae
Exons: 2
Source: RefSeq, a predicted model, not a curated record
UACUGCUCGUCUCAACCCUUCCAAAUUGCUCCCCAAAUCGAACCCUAAGCAAAUCGAAUCUCACCCCGAGGCCCCCUUCCCCUUCCUCGGCGGCGCCGCCGCCCAGCCACCUGACAUGAGCGCCCUAGCAACCUCCUCAUCCACCGGCGAGCACCCUUCACCGCUUCCUCCUUGACCUCUGCCACAUCGAGUGUCGGCUUCCUUCCCCGACCCAUGUCGCCGCUCCCAGACAACCUCCGCCGCGCCCCCAACGCUGCCUCCCGACACUUUCUCUCCGGGCAGCACCGCGGCCAGCUCCCCCGCCAUCGUCUACUUGCGCGCUUCCUCAAGCAGCGCCGACUCAUCCAGGAGCUCCUCCCGUCAGCAGCACCUCCUCCUCUAGGAGCCUCCUCUACGAACCAGUCCUCCACCAAAUUGGUACGUUCAUGCUUGCAGUGAAUACAUGAGGAGCUGAUGGUUUCUUCUAUCUAUUGGCAGUCUAUCUGUACAUUUACUUGGUGGGGAGUACUCUGUACUCAGCCGUAUGGUUUAUCUUUUGCUUAUGGAUCUGCAAAAACUGUUUGUUUGUUCUAUGAGCAGCGUGCAUCUUCUUUGUCCUCUCCACCAAGCAGUGUCGACUACGCCAUCUCCCCCCAGGUAGUGCCUUGUCUAUGUCCUCUUGUCUAUGUCCUUGGCCCCGAGCAGUGUUCAAAAUUCAGAGCUGAUAUGAUGUAUUGUAUGUUGUUUGCAUAUUGAUGAUCUGGUAAGCAUUACAAUGUUGGACAUGACCAAUUGCUUAACAGGAGAUCUCUGUCUAAGAAAUGCCUUCCUUAAAAAGCAUGAAUUGUAAAGCAUGUGCGAUGAAUAUAUUACAUUUCAAUUAUCGCAUGUGCGAUGAUCUUAUUUAGCAUUUCAUUUCUUAUAUGCUUCAUGCAAAUGAAACUGCAGUAAACAUACAAACUGAGAUUUUGCUUGCCCUGUGUAUGCAUGUCCUGAAUGUGCUUUACCUUUGUAUGCAUACAGUUACCGGAAGCUUUUACAUGUACUAGAACUGGCUUUUGCAUGCCCUGUGUAUUCUGAAGCUUAGUCUUUUGUUAUUGGGCAGUAAUUGAAACAGAGCUGUUGGUCUGCCUGCCAUAGAACCAUUUAUGAAGAUCAUUGGAGUUGCCUUCUCAUGUAUUCCUAUGCAUAGUCUAGUACAUAUUUCCGUGCGUAAAAAGUUGUUGGUCUUGCUGUAGAUGCACACUAAAAAAAAAGGGCAACCUGGUGCAUGUAGCUCCCGCUUGCGCAGGGUCCAGGGAAGGGUCCGACCACUUUGGGUCUAUAGUACGCAGCCUUUCCCUACAUUUCUGUAAGAGGCUGUUUCCAGGACUUGAACCCAUGACCUCAUGGUCACAAGGCAGCAGCUUUACCACUGCGCCACUGAAAGUUGAAAAUUAUGCUAGUAGAAAUAGGUGUUCUGGUAUAUCUGACUACUUGCUUUGGAAUAGUUAUUUCUUGAUAUUAUCUGAUCCCAUCUCAUGUAUAUUUCUAGAAAAAGCUUUAUGAACUGAGUUCACUACAACUUGAAGUCUUGUGCAUGGAAGGGAAUUGAGAUAUUUUCUCAUUCUGUACUAGUUAAAAUGUAUCUGUUGAUAUUCUACUCAUUUUGGUUCAUGCCGCUCUUAAUUCUUCUUGUAUGAGCUCUUAUAGUGUUGUAAGGUUGAAGGCUCAAGAUACUACACUUCAGUACACACAUGUAAUAUUAUUUGAAAUGUAAAGUUCUUAUCUGCAGUAGAGUUGUAUAUAGUAAACUUGGAAUGUCUUGAUUAAUUUUCUAUAUCUUUCAUUGCAAUGGUUACAGGUUCAUCUUUACUUGAAAUCUAAUUUGCAUGUUGGUUGGUGUUCUUCAAGAAUCAGGGUACUAAUUUGUGAUAUGAUUGGUGAAAGAGGUAUUUUGCACGAUUCAUUUAUAUCCUACAUGUCUUUUUUCUCUCUAUAUAUAGUAGCAUUAUUUGAAAAUGUCCUUGUAUUUCCUCUCAGAAGCUCACACCUGAAUAUCAUUAUAUAUGCUUGUGAAAAAGUUAUGUAUGUUCUUUUGAGUUAAGCCUACUUGCCUUUGUGUGCUUAUACAAAAAGAUAAGAUCCAGUGAUGUAAAAAAUUCAUACAGGUUGUGGAUGUCACUUCCUGUUUCUUGAACGGUGUCCCUAUUUUGUCCUAUGUACAGACAAAUUUGAUGAUUCUUCACUUUCUGGAAAGUAAACUUAAUACCAGAGGUAAUCAGACCAUGCCAUAUGGGUUUCAUCAUCUGUCCAGACCUUAAACUGUUGUCAUGCUUUCCAGGAAGGGUAACUUGAUGUGCUUAAUUCGUGCGCCCAAACUUGAAACUAUUGACAUUUGUUAGUUUCUUAUUAAAUUGAAUGUUCAUUUAAUGCCUUGAAGGGAAAUUUGUUGAGAAAAUCUCUUAAUUAUGUAGAUGUUUUUCUUAUGAAAAAUGGGGGUGGAGCCCUCUGUGAAUUCUUUGAGUAUCAUAAUAAAUGUAAUGGAGAUUAUUUUUUCUAACACAUGUACUUGUUAUUUGGUCACUUCCUGUCCAGGUUGAAAAUGUUCCUGCAAGACUGGUUAAGACACCUUGCUGUAACCAUAUGUGUUGAGCUCACACAGAAGACCUGACAAGCUUUACUCUUUGUGUUUGUUACAUUUUGUACUGCUCGGAUGUCUAGGAACUGAAAAUGCUAAAUUAUGAGGAAGUCUUCAGGUGUACUCAAUUAAUUGUAUACAUUGUAAAAUGUUUGAUGAUGAGAUUUUACAAUAUAUAUGUGAAGUGCA